This is a long non-coding RNA of Suricata suricatta (meerkat), 791 nucleotides long. RefSeq lists it as uncharacterized. Lineage: Eukaryota; Metazoa; Chordata; Mammalia; Carnivora; Herpestidae. The transcript is spliced from 2 exons. The record is from RefSeq and is a predicted model, not a curated record.
AGGACAGGGGCAGGAGGCCAGAGCCACACCGUCAGACCAGCCCGCGCCAGAGCCAAGAGAAUGGCAGGAGCUGGCGGCCGCCAGCUUGGGGACCGAUCCCUGCUGUGUCACGGAGGCGUUGGACCGCACGCGCGCCUGCUGUUGGCAUUAGCUCUCUCUUAAUGAGCAGCCACGUGGCCCAGGCUGCGUGCCCAGUGCUCUGCAGACCUCUCUCAACUGACAGUAACCCUCCUCGGAGAGACACUCUGUGAAAUGAAGCCACAGACUCAAGCAGAGAGUUGGAGAGGAAGAGCCCUGGCAACACCGCUGGAGUCCCAAGAGCCAGCCAUGCCUAACGUGUUAACUUCAGUUCUUCAAUCAGUCUUCGUUAUCACUGCUUGACUUUAACAAGAUGGGCUGGUCCUGUUUGCUUCACUUCCAGGUUAUCCUUGGACUGUAGUUGGCUCCAAGUGCCGGUUACAUGGGCUGAUAAUAACACCAGGUUACCCAAUGAGGAGCACAGGUGUGAUGAUAAACACAGUUUUAAGGAAAGACGAUGGAAUCUGGAUUCAGUACUGAGUGAAUUCAAUUAUGUACACUAUGCAAGUGAAAAGGAGACAUGUAAACUGGGAAAGAUGACCAUAAACAAAUAGUGUUAAGUGAAUGAAGACCACGUAUGGGAGGUCCUGCUGCAUGGCCCAAACUGAACUGAACUGGCCCUUGAAAAAUCUUUCAGAUUUAUGAUGUUUUGGUCAGAGGAGGAAAUUGUUGUCUGUAAUAAUUCAGUAAAAAUAAAGACUCCUACAAAGAUA